UCCUCCAUUCAGGGCAGAAAAGCACAGC
Molecule: non-coding RNA, 28 nt
Filed under: Mus musculus (house mouse)
Lineage: Eukaryota; Metazoa; Chordata; Mammalia; Rodentia; Muridae
Source: RNAcentral